GUAUCUGAGGAAUAAGCAUCGGCUAACUCUGUGCCACCAGCCGCGGUAAGACAGAGGAUGCAAGCGUUAUCCGGAAUGAUUGGGCGUAAAGCGUCUGUAGGUGGCCUGACAAGUCUUCUGUCAAAGAUCAGGGCUUAACCCUGGAAAGGCAGGAGAAACUAUCAGGCUAGAGAUCGGUAGAGGCAGAGGGAAUUCCCAGUGAAACGGUGAAAUGUGUAGAUAUUGGGAGGAACACCAACGGCGAAAGCACUCUGCUGGGCCGAGACUGACACUGAGAGACGAAAGCGAGGGGAGCAAAUGGGAUUAGAUACCCCAAUAGUCCUCGCCGUAAACGAUGGAUACUACGUGUUGGAUGUUUUCAAAGACUUCAGUACCGUACCUAACGCGUGAAGUAUCCCGCCUGGGGAGUAUGCUCGCAAGAGUGAAACUCAAA
Molecule: ribosomal RNA, 433 nt
Filed under: uncultured Koliella
Lineage: Eukaryota; Viridiplantae; Chlorophyta; Trebouxiophyceae; Prasiolales; Prasiolaceae
Description: bacterial SSU rRNA
Rfam family: Bacterial small subunit ribosomal RNA
Source: RNAcentral